This 402-nucleotide ribosomal RNA is filed under the name uncultured bacterium. Its description in RNAcentral is "bacterial SSU rRNA". It matches the Rfam family "Bacterial small subunit ribosomal RNA", at positions 355 to 774 of the family's 1533-position model. The record is from RNAcentral.
UGGGGAAUAUUGCGCAAUGGGGGAAACCCUGAUCCAGCAAUGCCGCGUGAGUGAAGAAGGCCUUAGGGUUGUAAAGCUCUUUCGCCCGCGAAGAUAAUGACGGUAGCGGGAGAAGAAGCCCCGGCUAACUCCGUGCCAGCAGCCGCGGUAAUACGGAGGGGGCUAGCGUUGUUCGGAAUUACUGGGCGUAAAGCGUACGUAGGCGGAUGCGCAAGUUGGGGGUGAAAUCCCGGGGCUUAACCUCGGAAUUGCCCUCAAAACUGCACGUCUUGAGACCGAGAGAGGUAAGGGGAAUUCCUAGUGUAGAGGUGAAAUUCGUAGAUAUUAGGAAGAACACCAGUGGCGAAGGCGCCUUACUGGCUCGGUACUGACGCUGAGGUACGAAAGCGUGGGGAGCAAACA